RNAcentral lists this ribosomal RNA (377 nucleotides) under uncultured bacterium. RNAcentral describes it as "bacterial SSU rRNA". It matches the Rfam family "Bacterial small subunit ribosomal RNA", at positions 523 to 898 of the family's 1533-position model. The record is from RNAcentral.
AUACGUAGGUGGCGAGCGUUGUCCGGAUUUAUUGGGCGUAAAGGGAGUGUAGGCGGUCUUUUAAGUCUGAUGUGAAAGCCCACGGCUCAACCGUGGAGGGUCAUUGGAAACUGGGAGACUUGAGUGCAGAAGAGGAGAGCGGAAUUCCAUGUGUAGCGGUGAAAUGCGUAGAUAUAUGGAGGAACACCAGUGGCGAAGGCGGCUCUCUGGUCUGUAACUGACGCUGAGGCUCGAAAGCGUGGGGAGCAAACAGGAUUAGAUACCCUGGUAGUCCACGCCGUAAACGAUGAGUGCUAAGUGUUGGAGGGGUUCCACCCUUCAGUGCUGGAGUUAACGCAAUAAGCACUCCGCCUGGGGAGUACGGCCGCAAGGCUGAA